GAAAUGCGAUAAGUAAUGUGAAUUGCAGAAUUUAGUGAAUCAUCGAAUCUUUGAACGCACAUUGCGCCUAUUAGUAUUCUAGUAGGCAUGCCUGUUCGAGCGUCAUUUCAAGACUCAGACUUUCUGAAGUUGAAAUAUGUGAUUCCUUAGUGGACACCACAGUUUCUAAAUACAAUAACGGAUAUAAUGAUAUAACCGAGUGUAGUAUAAUAUCUCGCUAAGGCUUUCAUUAUAGUUCGUAAACCCCAAAAAUGUUGACCUCGAAUCAGGUAGGAAUACCCGCUGAACUUAA
Molecule: unclassified non-coding RNA, 292 nt
Filed under: uncultured Sordariomycetes
Lineage: Eukaryota; Fungi; Ascomycota; Sordariomycetes
Description: sequence contains ITS1
Rfam family: 5.8S ribosomal RNA (bases 1-105)
Source: RNAcentral